UACAGAGGGUGCGAACGUUGCUCGGAAUUACUGGGCGUAAAGCGCGUGUAGGCGGUCCGUUAAGUUGGUAGUGAAAUCCCAUGGCUCAACCAUGGAAGUGCUGCCAAAACUGGCGGGCUGGAGUGCCGGAGAGGGUGGCGGAAUUCCCAGUGUAGAGGUGAAAUUCGUAGAUAUUGGGAAGAACACCGGUGGCGAAGGCGGCGACCUGGUCCGUUACUGACGCUGAGGCGCGACAGCGUGGGGAGCAAACAGG
This 253-nucleotide ribosomal RNA is filed under the name uncultured bacterium. Its description in RNAcentral is "partial 16S ribosomal RNA". It matches the Rfam family "Bacterial small subunit ribosomal RNA", at positions 524 to 776 of the family's 1533-position model. The record is from RNAcentral.